CUUAUAGGAAAAUCAGUGGCUAUGGUUUUUUUUGUUUUUUGUUUUUUGCAUUUCCUUCUGUCAUCCAUUGCAAAGACGUCCAGCUUCAGGGUAGUAUGGAAAGAUCCCUGGUCUCGCAGUCAGAAGACCCGAGUUCAAGAUGUGGGAUCUCUAAACAUGGCCCUUCAGUUCUUUCUUCCGAGACCCGUGCUGAUGGCCAAGCAAGAUGAGGGCUAUGAAAAGCCUCUGUAGACUGCACAAUGAGCAUGGGAGAGGCUGUCAUCAUUCUGGAAUUGGGAGACAGAUUUACAGAGGGCCUCAACACAAGAUUGAAGGUGGUGAAUUUCCAUUCGGCUGCCUGGGUGUCUGCAUGUAUAAAAAGCAAACCUAAGUGGUUUUUUUCUCUUCCAAGUGAAGAUGAAAGUGUUAAAAAUAGCAAGGAGGUGAAAGUGUUCAAAAUAGCAAAGUGGCCUGUCUCCUCUUCUCCUAAGCAGACUGUCCAAACAGACGCACAGUAGGAGGAGCACCUUUUGAUGCUUGGCAUGUGGUGGUGAUGCUUCCUCUCUCCUAGCACAGGACCUGGCUUUGUCAUCUCCAGACCUAACUGGGAGCACCGAGGGUCCUAACCAGGCAAAUGCAAGCUCUAAUGGGCUCUUUGAAAACAGGCUUUUCUAGAAGCAGGAACCCCAAGUAAAAUUUCCCCAGCUGCCUCUAAGGCCCAUCACACUCCUGUCUCAUGCCCACCUAUGAGAAAGGAAAAGGUGAUGGUCAUUGAGCUGUGCUGCAGAGGAGUGUGAGGUGCAGACACCAUGGGGUACCCACAGCCAGGAAAAUGAGGAUGGUGGGGGAGAGGCACCGGGGAAGAGCUGGGCCCCUGCCUGGGACCCCUCAGUGAUUCCCAGGGGGCGUGGGACUUUCGCAGUCCUUUCAGAGGGCUGUUUACCAACAGGCACCAUAACAUUAAACCUGCUCAGACCCCUUGACUCAGCAAUUUCAUGUCUGGGAAUAUAUCUUAGAAAAUAAUCAGAGAUGCUACCAACAUAUGUUAUGCUGAUGUAUGACAGAAUUAUUAUACAAAUAUAUCCAUAGUAACAGGGGGUUUGCUGAAAUAAAUUAUCGUAUAUUCAUAUAAUAUAACACUGUCAGGCCAUUAAAAAUCACAGUUUCAAAGAUAAUAAAAUGGGAACAUGCUCAUAGUAUAGUUUUUUUAAAUUGCAGAUGGUAUAUGGCUAAAAAUGUCUAAUAAUGCAAAGAUGUAUACAGACCUUAAUCCUCUAGCCUCCUCCCUACAGAUGACCUCUGUUAAUUUCUCAAAUAUUUUUCUGGAUAUUUUACACACAUACACACACACACACACACACACAUUCUUUUUAAACAAAGGGUAUCAUUCUAUAGUCAUUACACAUCUUAAUUUUUUUUUUUUUUUGAGACAGAGUUUCACUCUUGUCACCCAGGCUGGAGUGCAAUGGUGUGAUCUCGGCUCACUGCAACUUCCACGUCCCGAGUUCAAGAGAUUCUCCUACCUCAGUCUCCCGAGUAGCUGGGAUUACAGGUGCCUGCCACCUUGCCCGGCUGAUUUUUUGUAUUUUUAGUAGAGACGGGGUUUCACCACAUUGGUCAGGCUGGUCUCGAACUCCUGACCUCAGGUGAUCUGCCUGCCUUGGCCUCCCAAAGUGCUGGGAUUACAGGCGUGAGCCACUGUGCCCAGCCAUUCAUCUUAAUUUUUAAAAAAUCUAACCAUGAAGCCUUGGUUGUCUUGGAGAUCUUUCCUUAUUAGCACACACACAAAAAAAUCCAAUUCUUUACAGCUGCAUACUAUUCCAUCAUUUGUAUGUAUCAUAUUUUAUUUAACCAUCCUGCUAUUAGUGACCAUUGAGUUGGCUUCCUGUGUUUUGCCAUUACAUGGUUGCAACAAACAUGUUUGCAUGUGUCUGCCCUCAUGUGCAUGUAAAUCUGAAUGAUACAUGAUUGAUUUGAUAGAUUUUAGGAAUUACAUCAUUCAUUCAUGCACUCAACAAAUAUUUAAUGAGUGCCUACUCUCUGAUAGCUGCUGUUAGAUGUGGCUAAAUUUUAAAGUGUAGAAUUUAAAAGGUGGCUACCAAAUUCCAUGUGCAAAAUGACCCCACGCAUGUAUAAAAACACACACAUCCACAGAUUUAUAUGUAGGAGAGAAGAUGUGGUCCCUGGCCUCUAGGCUCUCUCAGUCUGUGGCAGGACAGACAGACAUGUGCACGUGGCACUGUAAGGUUGAGCACAGUCUAAGUACUCAGCAUGGUCUCUGGCACAUGGUAGGUGCCCAAGAAAUACAUGUUGAAUGAAUUGAGGGGGUAACGCCUUCCAGGGCAGGCAGCCUCUGAGCUCAGCCUUCAGUGUUCCGUAGGUUGAAUUAUCUGCCAGAGACGUGGCAAAAGGGAGAGGAACCAAGACAGAGGCACAGAGGUUCAAACGUACCCGGCACAUUCAGAGAAUCCUUUUCAGAGUCACAUCCCCAAGAGUUUCUGUGUUCUGUACGGUGAUGUUGUAGUGCUGUUUUUCCACAGUCUCGCUCCAUCGGCCUCAAUCCGCUGUACGUCAUGCUGCCCUGUACCCUGAGUGCCUCCUUUGCCUUCAUGUUGCCUGUGGCCACCCCUCCGAAUGCCAUCGUGUUCACCUACGGGCACCUCAAGGUUGCUGACAUGGUAACACAGCUGUUUUUAUUUACUCCCGUUGGACUGUAAUGCUGUUGUCAUAAGGGAUGCCCCAUUUACGAAUCACAGAGUUUCAAAACGAUGUCAUAUGACUUGGGAAUACCAUGGAACAUCCAGACCUGUAGCCAUUGUUGACAUUUAUAAUGCAGCUUUUCUUCUUUUUUUGAGAUGAUCUCAAGCCUCACACACUGUUCUUUCUCUGAGGUGGGUUAUAGACCCCCACCUGGAGAAGCCUGUGCAGGCACCAGGGGAGUCCUUGGAAGGGGUGAAGGUGGGGCUGAGGGACUCACGUGGCCAAGGAUGAACUUGACAAAUUAGCAAGAACCACGAAGAUAGGCAGGGCAGGCGUAGGCAGCAGGGGGAUGCUAAUGACAGUCACAGAGAUUCUUAGGGGUGUCUGAAGAGGUAGAAGCAGGGAGAGGAAGAGAGAGAGCACUGCUUGGGAGUAGAUGAUGCCUUGGAAACAAAUGUAGUCAGAGGAAGAACUCUUCAUUGGCUCUGUCACCUUUGCUGGGAGAAGGGCAGCUUUGCAGCUCUGGGCUGGGAAAGGGGCAAGUGUGUGAGCCCAGGAGGCCAGAAAUGUACCUGGGACCAAUCAGGUGUUCGUUAUCUCAGAGCCUCUGCUAGGUAUCUCAGGGACUCCAUGGAGCAUUUUCAUAAAAAGGGUGGGUCCCAGAAACCAUGGACUGCAAACUUGACUCCAAUCCCCAGUAAAAUAUCUACAACAGGCUAGUGAAGCAAUGGUUAGUGACCACGAGGGAAGCUUGCAGAGCAGGCAUCAGAAAGAGCCUGAGGAGAUCCACGGGGAAGCUGGCACAUCCUUGUAGGAUGGUUAAGGCACUGGGAUGAGCAAUGAACCUGGACUCACACACUGGGCUCUGUCACCAUUUCCCUGAAUGGCCUAAGCUGUUGCCUCCUGCCACCUCUCUGAGGUCAUUCUCCAAAUGCUCGUGGGCAUAGAGAACCCAUCCGUUCUGCCUACUUCCCAGGGAUGCCUUGAGCACUGAGGAUACCUGGGGGACAUGAAGUCGCACUGUCCUGGGGGUCGGGACACCCCAGCCAGGAACAGAGCAUGGCACAGGAACAUCGAGGCCCAGUGAGCCGACCCUUUGUCCUCCUCUCUGAGAGCGCUAGUUCGCAGCAGGCCUCAGGGUGCUGACUCUGACACUGUCUCUUUUCCAGGUGAAAACAGGAGUCAUAAUGAACAUAAUUGGAGUCUUCUGUGUGUUUUUGGCUGUCAACACCUGGGGACGGGCCAUAUUUGACUUGGAUCAUUUCCCUGACUGGGCUAAUGUGACACAUAUUGAGACUUAGGAAGAGCCACAAGACCAUGCACACAGCCCUUACCCUCCUCAGGACUACCGAACCUUCUGGCACACCUUGUACAGAGUUUUGGGGUUCACACCCCAAAAUGACCCAACGAUGUCCACACACCACCAAAACCCAGCCAAUGGGCCAACUCUUCCUCCAAGCCCAGAUGCAGAGUUGGUCAUGGGCAGCCGGAGGGCAGGCUCAGAAAUGAAGGGAACCUCUCAAUGGGCUGCUGGACCCAUCUUUCCCAAGCCUUGCCAUUAUCUCUGUGAGGGAGGCCAGGUAGCCGAGGGAUCAGGAUGCAGGCUGCUGUACCUGCUCUGCCUCAAGCAUCCCCCACACGGGGCUCUGGUUUUUACUCGCUUCGUCCUAGGUAGUUUAAAUGGGAAUCAGAUCCCCUGGUUGAGAGCUAAGACAACCACCUACCAGUGCCCAUGUCCCUUCCAGCUCACCUUGAGCAGCCUCAGAUCAUCUCUGUCACUUUGGAAGGGACAUCCCAGCCAGGGACGGAAUGCCUGGUCUUGAGCAACCUCCCACUGCUGGAGUGAGAGUGGGAAUCAGAGCCUCCUGGAGCCUCUGGGAACUCCUCGUGUGGCCACCAUCAAAGGAUGAGGAAUCUGAGUUGCCAACUUCAGGACGACACCUGGCUUCCCACCCACAGUGCACCACAGGCCGACCUACUCCCUUCGUCACUUGGUUCUGUUUUAAUCAACUGGCCCCCUGUCCCACCUCUCCAGUGAGCCUCCUUCAACUCCUUGGUCCCCUGUUGUCUGGGCCAACAUUUGUCGAGACGCCCUGGCUGGCACCCUCUGGGGUCCCCCUUUUCUCCCAGGCAGGUCAUCUUUUCUGGGAGAUGCUUCCCCUGCCAUCCCCAAAUAGCUAGGAUCACACUCCAAGUAUGGGCAGUGAUGGCACUCUGGGGGCCACAGUGGAUAUCUAGGUCCUCCCUCACCUGAGGCCCAGAGUGGACACAGUUGUUAAUUUCCACUGGCUAUGCCACUUCAGAGUCUUUCAUGCCAGCGUUUGAGCUCCUCUGGGGAAAAUCUUCCCUUUGUUGACUGGCCUUCACAGCCAUGGCUGGUGACAACAAAGGAUCGUGGAGAAUGAGCAGUGCUUGGUGAUCUCUCAGCAAACAACCCCUGCCCGUGGGCCAAUCUACUUGAAGUUACUCAGACAAAGACCCCAAAGUGGGGCAACAACAACUCCAGAGUGGCUGUGGGAAUCUUCAGAACCCCCCUGUAAGAGACAGACAUGAGAGACAAGCAUCUUCUUUCCCCCACAAGUCCAUUUUAUUUCCUUCUUGUGCUGCUCUGGAAGAGAGGCAGUAGCAAAGAGAUGAGCUCCUGGAUGGCAUUUUCCAGGGCAGGAGAAAGUAUGAGAGCCUCAGGAAACCCCAUCAAGGACCGAGUAUGUGUCUGGUUCCUUGGGUGGGACGAUUCCUGACCACACUGUCCAGCUCUUGCUCUCAUUAAACGCUCUGUCUCCCACG
RNAcentral lists this small RNA (5466 nucleotides) under Pongo abelii (Sumatran orangutan). Its description in RNAcentral is "retained intron". Lineage: Eukaryota; Metazoa; Chordata; Mammalia; Primates; Hominidae. The record is from RNAcentral.